UUCCUUCAGUAGCAUAUAGUUUUCCUUUAAAAAAACAAAACAAAAAAAACAACCCUUUUUUUGAUAUUAUUUUCUGCUUCUUCUUAAACUGUUACCUAACUUGUUUGGAAAGUGCCCCUGAGGGGCUGGUCCAGAAUUUGUAAGCAUGGAUGAUUCUUAAACAGGAUUAUGCAAAGGGAAAGACCUGAGACCAGUGUUAAGGUGGCAUUUCUCAGGAUCUCCUCUUUCCUUUAGCUGCCACAUAUUUCAUUGGUGCAAUAGGACUGUGUUGAUGGGAAGUUUCUUUAGAUUUUAGAUGAGUGACCAGUUUUUGUGCCAUAGAUAUUUACUGUUCAAGAGGAUAAAGGUGUUACAGUAUGAUAUAUAUAUACAGGAAAAAUACAUUUAAAAAAAUAGUAUAACAUGAAUAAUUGAGUGUUGAGAAAGUAAUCCAAACAAACUAUCCAAACAUUGGGCCUCAUUUAUCAAGCCUGAUAUGAACAGGUUUUUUUUUUUUUUUUCCAGAAAUUGAUUACACAAAAUUGUGUUGGGAAGAAUGUUCGUAUCCUAGGAAAGCUCCUGAGUUUGUGUAAACUUACCAUAUGGAGACUAACUAAUGCAAACCUCCACUCAUUUACUCAUCAUUUCAUAUUAAUAACAUUAAUUAGAGAAAUAUUUCAUAUGGAAAAAUUAUAAAUAAAGAAGCAAGGCAGCACAAAAUCCAUAAAUUAAGACAAAUAAGACUAGUUAUUGCAUUUUUCAUUGUCAUGCCAAGCCAGUUUCUUUUCCCCUCGCUUACUUCAUACCUAACUGACCUUUUCUGUAAUUUGUCUUCAGAUCUGAACCUUUUCACAUGCUGCUGUGCUGCUAAAUAAUAUUUUUAUUGGUGUAUACAUUAGUCAAAAUAAUUACCCCUUCUGCUUCUGAGAAAUAGUUUUUAGCUGUCUGUGAGCUUUAUCUUUUAUGGGAUUUGUGGGCAUCACACACACACACAAAAAAGAUAAAUGAGGGCCCAAUGAGUGUACUGACACUUUGAUACUUCCCAGUCUUCACUUAUAUACUUAAAUACACUCACUGGCCACUUUAUCAGGAACAUCUAGACCUGUUCAUUCAUGCAAUUAUUCAGCCAGACAAUCAUGUGGCAGUAGCACAAUGUAUAACUCAUGCAGAUACAGAAUGUGGAAAAUAUGCGAUCUCAGUGACUGUGGCAUGGUUGUUAGUUCCAGAUGGUCUGGUCUGAGUAUUUCAGAAGCUGCUGAACUCAUGGAAUUUUCACAGAAAACUGUCUGUAGUGUUGUGGGAGAAAAAACUGGAAAAGACCAACCAAUGUAUUUUCCUUUCAGUCUUUAAAGGUUCUGUGUGUGCCAGUGUACCUUCAGAUUCUGGUUCUUAGCUGACUGGAGUGGAACCCGAUGUGGUCUUCUGCUGUUGUAGCCCAUCCACCUCAAGGUUCUGUGUAUUAUGUGUUCUGAAAUGCUUUUCAUUUCUCUCUGCUCACCAUCGUUGUAAAGAGUUUUUAUUUGAAUUAACAAAUCAAAAAAAGCCUUCCUGUCAGCUCGGACGAGUCUGGCCGUUCUCCUUUUACCUCUUUAUCAACAAGGCAUUUCCACCCACUCAGUGGAACUGGAUGCUCUGUAGACUACUGUGCAUGAAAAUCCCAGGAGAUCCGCAGCUUGUGAAAUAUCUGGCACCAACAAUUACGUGAAAAUUAACUGAAGGUCUUUAUCUGUAUCUACAUGAUUCUAUACAUUGCACUGCUGCCACGUAAUGGACUGAUUGUAUACUUGCAUGAAUGAUUGAAUGAUCAGGUGUUCCUAAUAAAGUAUUCCCGGGUAUAUAUAUAUAUAUAUAUAUAUAUAUAUAUAUAUAUAUAUAUAUAUAUAUAUAUAUAGUGUGUGUGUGUGUGUGAGCAAGCGUACUGGAUAUGAUGUUAUACCUAAUAUGCUCCUAGGCAGAUCAGACUUGCCCCAAAAUAUAAUCUAUACUAGAAGACUGUUAUGCCUGUGAGCUGGUUAUUAAUGUAGGUAUAAGAGGAUUCUCAGGUAUAUAAAAAAAACAAAACCAUUUGGCACUUAACUCAUUCAUUCCCCAGCAUCAGAUAAUGCUUGCCCACACACACAUGCACACCUGUACAUGUAUGUGUGUUCACCGUUUGAUUGUGUAUCCAAUAAAUUGUCAUUAUCUGACUCUGAAGAAGGAAUUUUUGGAUGAGAAAGAUGAGCGUAAGCUCAUAAGCAGGCAUGUUGAUCAUGUGCAAUAUUUCUAAACAAAAGAAAAUUGAAAAUAUUAAAGACUUAACACAGUAUUUGUUGCCUUGUCUUUUAUCAGACAGUCAAAGUUUUAGCAGAAAGAAGAAGAAGCCGUUUACAUGCUGGGAAAAGAAAGGAGAAAAGAAACAUUUUCUAGCAUUUCUAGCACAUGUUGGUGUAACUUUGUGCUUUUCUUAAAUUCCUUUUAAU
Molecule: long non-coding RNA, 2438 nt
Organism: Ictalurus punctatus (channel catfish)
Lineage: Eukaryota; Metazoa; Chordata; Actinopteri; Siluriformes; Ictaluridae
Source: Ensembl